AUGCUUACACAACCCCUAAGGGUGUGCCUAAUGCUUAGUUUAGGAUGGGUGGUUGCAGUAGAAGAGGCUGUGAGUACUAGCUGUACCUUAUCUCCCUGUGCCUGCCAGCUGCUGAGGUGCUCAAGCCCCAGCCCUGACAGCUGUCCCUCUGCCAUCGUCAGGGUGCUCUGUAAGAGGAGAAGAGGGGAGAAGAAAGAAAGUACAAGUCCUCUCCUCUCUGCCAGUGUGACGCUGAAGCUGGAGUCAAAAGCACAGACAAGAUAUUCUCCAAAGUCACCACGGAUGAAAUAUUUAUCAACUGGACCACUGUUUUAUGCCAGAAACUAUCCAUGAUCCACACACCGCUUGGAAAGAGAUCAUCAUUUUCCA
Molecule: long non-coding RNA, 369 nt
Filed under: Sus scrofa (pig)
Lineage: Eukaryota; Metazoa; Chordata; Mammalia; Artiodactyla; Suidae
Description: lncRNA (ENSSSCG00040035449.1, ENSSSCG00060056889.1)
Source: RNAcentral